AGGCUGCAACUCGCCUGCACGAAGCCGGAGUUGCUAGUAAUCGCGGAUCAGAAUGCCGCGGUGAAUGCGUUCCCGGGUCUUGUACACACCGCCCGUCACACCAUGGAAGUUGGGGGUGCCCAAAGCCGGCAGGGAAAUAUGCUGUCUAAGGCAAAACCAAUGACUGGGGGUGAAGUCGUAACAAGGUAAC
This 190-nucleotide ribosomal RNA is filed under the name uncultured bacterium. RNAcentral's name for it is "partial 16S ribosomal RNA". It matches the Rfam family "Bacterial small subunit ribosomal RNA", at positions 1302 to 1500 of the family's 1533-position model. The record is from RNAcentral.